RNAcentral lists this non-coding RNA (49 nucleotides) under Trichobilharzia regenti. Lineage: Eukaryota; Metazoa; Platyhelminthes; Trematoda; Strigeidida; Schistosomatidae. The record is from RNAcentral.
AUCCAGCUGACGAGUCUCAAAUAGGACGAAAUGCGCAUCCUGGCUGGAU